RNAcentral lists this ribosomal RNA (745 nucleotides) under uncultured bacterium. Its description in RNAcentral is "bacterial SSU rRNA". It matches the Rfam family "Bacterial small subunit ribosomal RNA", at positions 117 to 896 of the family's 1533-position model. The record is from RNAcentral.
GUGAGAAUCUGCCUCUUAGUCGGGGACAACAGUUGGAAACGACUGCUAAUACCGGAUGAGCUGAGAAGUAAAAGAUUUAUUGCUAAGAGAGGAGCUCGCGUCUGAUUAGCUAGAUGGUGGUGUAAUGGACUACCAUGGCGACGAUCAGUAGCUGGUCUGAGAGGAUGAGCAGCCACACUGGGACUGAGACACGGCCCAGACUCCUACGGGAGGCAGCAGUGGGGAAUUUUCCGCAAUGGGCGAAAGCCUGACGGAGCAAUACCGCGUGAGGGAGGAAGGCUCUUGGGUUGUAAACCUCAAAACUUAGGGAAGAAGAAAGUGACGGUACCUAAUAUAAGCAUCGGCUAACUCCGUGCCAGCAGCCGCGGUAAUACGGAGGAUGCAAGCGUUAUCCGGAAUCAUUGGGCGUAAAGAGUCCGUAGGUGGCAAUUCAAGUCUGCUGUCAAAGACCGAAGCUCAACUUCGGGUAGGCGGUGGAAACUGAAGAGCUAGAGUAUAGUAGGGGUAGAGGGAAUUCCUAGUGUAGCGGUGAAAUGCGUAGAGAUUAGGAAGAACACCAGUGGCGAAGGCGCUCUACUGGGCAUAUACUGACACUGAGGGACGAAAGCUAGGGUAGCGAAAGGGAUUAGAUACCCCUGUAGUCCUAGCGGUAAACGAUGGAUACUAAGUGUUGUCUGUAUCGACCCAGACAGUGCUGAAGCAAACGCGUUAAGUAUCCCGCCUGGGGAGUACGCACGCAAGUGUG